GGUGGAGAGUGGCGCACGGGUGAGUAACGACAUGGGUGACCUGCCCCUCAGAGGGGGACAACCGGUGGAAACGCCGGCUAAUACCCCAUGCUUGCGUCCGGGUUAGAGGCCGGAUGCAGACAGGCCGAGGCGCUGAGGGAGGGGGCUGUGGACCAUCAGCUAGUUCGUACGGUAACGGCCUACCAAUGCGACGACGGAUAGGGGGCCUGAGAGGGGUGACCCCCCACACGGGCACUGAGACACGGGCCCGACUCCUACGGGAGGCAGCACUAAGGGAUAUUGCGACAAUGGGCGAAAGCCUGACGCAGCAACGCCGCGUGGACGAUGAAGGCCUUCGGGUUGUCAACUCCUUUUCUGUGGGAAGAGGAAGGACGGUACCACAGGAAGACGUCUCGGCUAACUACCUGCCAGCAGCCGCGGUCAAACGUAUGAGGCGAGCGUUAUCCGGAUUUACUGGGUGUAAAGCGCGUGCCGGCGGUCUGGUCAGUCGAGCGUGACCGCUCCCGGCUCAACCGGGAGAGGACGUGCGAAACUGCGACGCUAGAGACAGGUAGAGGCGUACGGAAUUCCGGGUGUAGUGGUGAAAUGCGUAGAUAUCCGGAGGAACACCAGUGCCGAAGGCGGUACGCAUGGGCCUGGUCUGGACGUUAAGACUCUGUUAAGCAUGCGUGAGCGAAACGCGGGAAUUAGAAACCCCGGUAGUCCAUGCCGUAAACGAUGCUAACUAGGUGUUGCGGGUAAAAGACCGGCAGUGCUCGGAGUUAACGCGAUAACUUAGCCACCUGGGGACUUCGGUCGCAAGGCUAAAACUCAAAGGAAUUGACGGGGGCCCGCACAAGCAGCGGAGCGUGUGGUUUUAUUCGAGGCUACACGAAGAACCUUACCUGGGCUUGACAUGACGGUGGUAGGGAACCGAAAGGGGACCGACCUUCGGGAUCCGUCACAGCUGCUGCAUGGCUGUCGUCAGC
Molecule: ribosomal RNA, 968 nt
Filed under: uncultured organism
Description: bacterial SSU rRNA
Rfam family: Bacterial small subunit ribosomal RNA
Source: RNAcentral